This 258-nucleotide ribosomal RNA is filed under the name uncultured bacterium. RNAcentral describes it as "partial small subunit ribosomal RNA". It matches the Rfam family "Bacterial small subunit ribosomal RNA", at positions 26 to 285 of the family's 1533-position model. The record is from RNAcentral.
AGGACGAACGCUGGCGGCGUGCUUAACACAUGCAAGUCGAGCGGUGAUCCUCCUUCGGGAGGUGAUCAGCGGCGAACGGGUGAGUAACACGUGGGCAACCUGCCCCUCACACUGGGAUAACCUCGGGAAACCGGGGCUAAUACCGGAUACGACCUCGAGCGGCAUCUCUUGAGGUGGAAAGCUCCGACGGUGAGGGAUGGGCCCGCGGCCUAUCAGCUUGUUGGUGGGGUAAUGGCCUACCAAAGGCGACGACGGGUA